RNAcentral lists this ribosomal RNA (1501 nucleotides) under Alcaligenes aquatilis. Its description in RNAcentral is "bacterial SSU rRNA". It matches the Rfam family "Bacterial small subunit ribosomal RNA". The record is from RNAcentral. Lineage: Bacteria; Pseudomonadati; Pseudomonadota; Betaproteobacteria; Burkholderiales; Alcaligenaceae.
AGAGUUUGAUCCUGGCUCAGAUUGAACGCUAGCGGGAUGCUUUACACAUGCAAGUCGAACGGCAGCACGAGAGAGCUUGCUCUCUUGGUGGCGAGUGGCGGACGGGUGAGUAAUAUAUCGGAACGUGCCCAGUAGCGGGGGAUAACUACUCGAAAGAGUGGCUAAUACCGCAUACGCCCUACGGGGGAAAGGGGGGGAUCGCAAGACCUCUCACUAUUGGAGCGGCCGAUAUCGGAUUAGCUAGUUGGUGGGGUAAAGGCUCACCAAGGCAACGAUCCGUAGCUGGUUUGAGAGGACGACCAGCCACACUGGGACUGAGACACGGCCCAGACUCCUACGGGAGGCAGCAGUGGGGAAUUUUGGACAAUGGGGGAAACCCUGAUCCAGCCAUCCCGCGUGUAUGAUGAAGGCCUUCGGGUUGUAAAGUACUUUUGGCAGAGAAGAAAAGGCAUCCCCUAAUACGGGAUGCUGCUGACGGUAUCUGCAGAAUAAGCACCGGCUAACUACGUGCCAGCAGCCGCGGUAAUACGUAGGGUGCAAGCGUUAAUCGGAAUUACUGGGCGUAAAGCGUGUGUAGGCGGUUCGGAAAGAAAGAUGUGAAAUCCCAGGGCUCAACCUUGGAACUGCAUUUUUAACUGCCGAGCUAGAGUAUGUCAGAGGGGGGUAGAAUUCCACGUGUAGCAGUGAAAUGCGUAGAUAUGUGGAGGAAUACCGAUGGCGAAGGCAGCCUCCUGGGAUAAUACUGACGCUCAGACACGAAAGCGUGGGGAGCAAACAGGAUUAGAUACCCUGGUAGUCCACGCCCUAAACGAUGUCAACUAGCUGUUGGGGCCGUUAGGCCUUAGUAGCGCAGCUAACGCGUGAAGUUGACCGCCUGGGGAGUACGGUCGCAAGAUUAAAACUCAAAGGAAUUGACGGGGACCCGCACAAGCGGUGGAUGAUGUGGAUUAAUUCGAUGCAACGCGAAAAACCUUACCUACCCUUGACAUGUCUGGAAAGCCGAAGAGAUUUGGCCGUGCUCGCAAGAGAACCGGAACACAGGUGCUGCAUGGCUGUCGUCAGCUCGUGUCGUGAGAUGUUGGGUUAAGUCCCGCAACGAGCGCAACCCUUGUCAUUAGUUGCUACGCAAGAGCACUCUAAUGAGACUGCCGGUGACAAACCGGAGGAAGGUGGGAUGACGUCAAGUCCUCAUGGCCCUUAUGGGUAGGGCUUCACACGUCAUACAAUGGUCGGGACAGAGGGUCGCCAACCCGCGAGGGGGAGCCAAUCUCAGAAACCCGAUCGUAGUCCGGAUCGCAGUCUGCAACUCGACUGCGUGAAGUCGGAAUCGCUAGUAAUCGCAGAUCAGAAUGUCGCGGUGAAUACGUUCCCGGGUCUUGUACACACCGCCCGUCACACCAUGGGAGUGGGUUUCACCAGAAGUAGGUAGCCUAACCGCAAGGAGGGCGCUUACCACGGUGGGAUUCAUGACUGGGGUGAAGUCGUAACAAGGUAACCGUAA